This is a non-coding RNA of Paramuricea clavata, 1372 nucleotides long. NCBI's taxonomy places the organism in Eukaryota, Metazoa, Cnidaria, Anthozoa, Malacalcyonacea, Plexauridae. The record is from the annotation of a GenBank genome assembly.
UUGGUAGAUAGCACUAUGGCGAAAGCGUCGUUUUUGGGUGUGGUCAGUUUCGGACGUUUCGUCCCGGAUUGGGGUUCGGGCAGCGUUACCAUGUUGACCGUCAUGGUCAACUUGCCCAAAAACAGUUGAGAUUAUCUGUCCUAAAUGAAAUGCAUACAAACUCAUAUACAGGUCCUAGACUAAUACUGCAAUUGACUACAUUCGACUUUUCUAUAAUAAUUCACAAAAUGAAGUUUGCUCAAUAUGAACUUGAGGUGAAAAACCCACCUGCAUAAAACAGGACGGAGAAUAUAAAAUCACACGUCUCUAACUCUAGAGUUCUGACUAUAAAUGUCAUUAAAUUCAAGCUUAUAUAACUCCUGGGAAAACCUCCGAACAAUUAAAUGGAAAGUCGAUUAUUCUUCAUAAAUCUAGAUAGAUAAGUUGGAAGAUACCUCAUACAGUGUUUUUGUUAAAGGUUUAAUGUAUUUGUUUUUCGAUUGAACACAUUUCCAUCCACCAUGGGCCUGCAAAGAUAAAUCUGAUAAGUGCGAACAACCGGGAUCUGAAGCACCUCCGCUUCUUAGACUAUGAGUUCCCAAUUUCCUGAGAUCGUCAAAAAAUAUACCCAAGUUUUUCUUGAUUAUGUCUUUCGCCGUAGUAUAAGAUAUUCCACGGGACUCAUGAAAGCUCCGACCACUUUGGCGUACUUAAUUCUACGUACAACUGGAUUACAAGAAUCAGAAUUGUCAGGUAACAUUUGGAACAGUCUCUCGGUAAUAGCAUAGACAAUCCAGAAGACAGGGACUGCAUGGAAACGCCUAAUGUUUUGCGCGUGCCAUCCGUGAUGCGCUUGCGUGAGCAGCGUGACGCUUGCACAUCUGCCAUUCCAAGUUCCAAAAUCCAAAACGAAUAAACGAUUAAUAUUGAUGUAUUAUCCGCUGUUUUUAUACAGCUCUUUAUACUGGAAGAUUGUUUAAAUAAUUUACACCGAAAAGGGAGUUAGGUAUAUCACAUUGUGUAUAAAGUUUAUAAAGCAAAUCUGCUUAAUAUCCAGAGACGAGUGCAAAGAAUUUUCGAGCUUCUUCGAAAAUUUUGAUUUCCAUUUUGGAGUGGACUUUCAGGCACGAUUCAGGUUUGUUUGCUUAUUUUAGUUUUCUACAAUUAAUUAAACUUACGUAUAUUUAUUUAGUUAUGCUUGACUGCAUUUACGUUAUAAAUUGUUCAAGUUACCUUUUCGAUAGUUUUUUAGUCUUUUUUGUUCAAAAGUACAGUCAGACAAGAAUGCCAAUAGCGACUUUUUACAGUCAAAAACAUUACGCAAGCAUUCAAAGGACGUUUUUGGUUUUGUUUGACUCAAUAUAAGUUUAAAAACCAGAUAAGUGCAUCCACA